GCGGAGGAAAAGAAACCAACAGGGAUUGCCCUAGUAACGGCGAGUGAAGCGGCAACAGCUCAAAUUUGAAAUCUGGCUCUAUUUUGGAGUCCGAGUUGUAAUUUGUAGAGGGCGCUUUGGCGUCGGCAGCGGUCUAAGUUCCUUGGAACAGGACGUCACAGAGGGUGAGAAUCCCGUACGUGGUCGCGUGCCUUCGCCGUGUAAAGCCCCUUCGACGAGUCGAGUUGUUUGGGAAUGCAGCUCUAAAUGGGAGGUAAAUUUCUUCUAAAGCUAAAUACUGGCCAGAGACCGAUAGCGCACAAGUAGAGUGAUCGAAAGAUGAAAAGCACUUUGGAAAGAGAGUCAAAAAGCACGUGAAAUUGUUGAAAGGGAAGCGCUUGCAGCCAGACUUGCCUGCGGUUGCUCAUCCGGGCUCUUGCCCGGUGCACUCUUCCGUAGGCAGGCCAGCAUCAGUUUGGGCGGCUGGAUAAAGGCCUCUGUCAUGUACCUUCCCUCGGGAAGGCCUUAUAGGGGAGGCGUAAUGCAGCCAGCCUGGACUGAGGUCCGCGCAUUUGCUAGGAUGCUGGCGUAAUGGCUGUAAGCGGCCCGUCUUGAAACACGGACCAAGGAGUCUAACAUCUAUGCGAGUGUUUGGGUGUCAAGCCCGGGCGCGCAAUGAAAGUGAACGGAGGUGGGAACCCUUUGCGGGGUGCACCAUCGACCGAUCCUGAUGUCUUCGGAUGGAUUUGAGUAAGAGCAUAGCUGUUGGGACCCGAAAGAUGGUGAACUAUGCUUGAAUAGGGUGAAGCCAGAGGAAACUCUGGUGGAGGCUCGCAGCGGUUCUGACGUGCAAAUCGAUCGUCAAAUUUGGGCA
RNAcentral lists this small RNA (853 nucleotides) under Medicopsis romeroi. RNAcentral's name for it is "eukaryotic LSU rRNA". It matches the Rfam family "Eukaryotic large subunit ribosomal RNA", at positions 50 to 917 of the family's 3401-position model. Lineage: Eukaryota; Fungi; Ascomycota; Dothideomycetes; Pleosporales; Neohendersoniaceae. The record is from RNAcentral.